This 2368-nucleotide long non-coding RNA is filed under the name Malus domestica (apple). Its description in RNAcentral is "long non-coding RNA (MDOM_LNC004773)". The record is from RNAcentral. Lineage: Eukaryota; Viridiplantae; Streptophyta; Magnoliopsida; Rosales; Rosaceae.
GGAGAGAUUCCUUUCUCGGUGAAACCCCUUUUGAGCUCAAUACCCACCACCACCACCAACACCACUCACUCACCAAGCUCGCUCUCUCUCUCUCUCUCUCUCUCUCUCUCCUCUUGCUGGUGUUCCACCUCGUCGCUGUGCAUUUCAUGAACUCCGGAGAUGAUGAGAGAAAAUCAGUCAUCGGAAAAUUCCAAACCGGUAAAACUGAAACUUUCUUCAGGUAAGAAAGGGUGGCUUAAUAAGUUAUUUGGGUUGCUUUUUAAUUGGUUAAAUAUUUCAAUUCGGAAAAGUAUCUGUUUCUAAUAUUUACAUGCUACUUCAUAUUUUUAGAGUAAAUUUGAGUUCUCUGCUUUGAGCUUCUCCGUUGAGGUCGAUGAGGCAAAUCAAAAAGUAGGAAAAUGAAAAGAACAGAAAGAUCAAAUUGAAAACAAGGGGCAUUCCGAGAAUCGAACUCGGGACCUCUCGCACCCAAAGCGAGAAUCAUACCACUAGACCAAAUGCCCUCUAUAUGCCAGAUAAUACCUGCAAAUCAUAAUUACUUUGAUCUAGGAUUCGUUUUCUUUUAUUAAUAGCAGUCAUCCAGAUCCAGUUGCUUCCUUUUUUUUUUUUUUUUUUUUUUUUUGUUUACUUGUUCCUUAUGGAUAUUUUGUUGGACUUUAAUACCCUGAAUUAGAGUGAAACUUCGUUACGACUAGGGCAGCUCUUACAUGGGACGGGCUUCGGUUUUGUGAGAGGUGUCCAAGGAAUGACAUGUUUCGUAGCCCUACCCAAGUUUUUCUCCGAAAGUUGGGUGCCCUAGGGAUGAGGUAGUCACGCUAGUUAAGCUCACGGAUUACGAUCAUGAGAAUGACUUUGAAAUUCCCUUCCCCAUCCCAUGUUUGGAAAGCACAAUCUUGGGAAUGCUAUUCUUGGCUCAUGGGUAUAAAUGUGGAAUUUUGAAACCUUUGGCCCCCUAGCAUAAAUUCACUAGGGACUUCAAAGUAUUGAUUAACUCUCCUUGGUCCUGAAAAUCGGCAUAAAUUAACAAAUGGAACACCGAUGCUUUGUGUGGUACAAUUGUAAAGUAGGGUUCUCUAGCUAGUGUGCGGAUCUAAUGGUUUCUUACUAAUAUUUAGUUCAGUUAGCAUCAAAACUGGUGUUGGAAACAGCGUCUUCGGAUUACUAGGUGUCGUGAGUUGAUUUAAGUCCGUGUGUGUGAUAUCAAUGGCAUUUCAAGAAAUCGAACUCUUUAUCUCUUGCAACAUGUUUAGAGCAAUCCUAUAUAAAAAAGGUCGUACCCAGUGCACAAGGCUCCCGCUUUACGCAGGGUCUGGGAGAGCAAUCCUAUAUGAAUAAAAAAAAGGAGUAAAACAUUGUAUGGGCCACAUUUUCGGAUCAGCUAAAUGAUGUUUACUUGUCAUAACGGGUGCUGCUAGUGUUUACGUAACUUUUGUUCAUGUUUUUGUUGGCUUUAGCUGAUUGGCCUGAUUGAUUAAGUUAGUACUUUCUGUGGCUGAUAAUAUCUGAUCCUCUGUUUCAAGUGUUUUGCAAUUUUUUUCUGCUCGAGUUUUUGUUAGGCGUUAUGUGUGGAUUUCUGGCUAAGAUGAAACAGGAUUAUAGGAUUAAAAUAAAACCUAAAAAGGUACAAAAAAAGGGGCAUUCCGAGAAUCGAACUCGGGACCUCUCGCACCCAAAGCGAGAAUCAUACCACUAGACCAAAUGCCCUCACAAUCAACAUUUACACGUGGAAAUGGUAAUUAUCUUAAAUCUGUGAAUGGUUUUUUAUGCUAUUGCAUUGAUCCAGUGUCUCCUAUUGCCAUAUACUUGUUUCUUGUGGAUACGGUGUCUGACCUCUUAUGUUGUGUUUCCCAUGAAGUUAUAUGACUGAUACAGUAAAAUGUGGAAUUCUUCUUAAAAUACUAGUAGCUUAGCAUUAAGUAUCGAUACAUUGGUUCUGAAAAUCUGUAUAAAUUAGCAAUUGGAAUGCUUCUAUCUGUGCUACAAUUAGGGUUCUCUAGGUUACGCAUUCAAUCGUGUUUUGCUAAUAUUUCUUAAAGCUAGCUCCGACCUGUUUUCCCUAAGAAACCAAAACUUGUUCGGAAAACUAAACUUAACAUCUUGUGUUGAAGUGCAGGUGUGGUAAAAUCUAAAUGUUUGAGGUAGGGCAUUUCCUGAAAGGGCCUCAAGUAGUCGGAAGCAAGAAUUAUGCGGUGCACCAAGCCUUAUCAAUGACGUCCAAGUACUCAACUCUUCAUCUUUCGCAACCAAAUCAAGAAGAGUAAUGUUCCAUGGAAAAAGAAUAGCCACAGGUAACACAAAAAGGGGCAUUCCGAGAAUCGAACUCGGGACCUCUCGCACCCAAAGCGAGAAUCAUACCACUAGACCAAAU